RNAcentral lists this ribosomal RNA (404 nucleotides) under uncultured bacterium. RNAcentral's name for it is "bacterial SSU rRNA". It matches the Rfam family "Bacterial small subunit ribosomal RNA", at positions 355 to 776 of the family's 1533-position model. The record is from RNAcentral.
UGGGGAAUCUUGCACAAUGGGGGAAACCCUGAUGCAGCGACGCCGCGUGAGCGAUGAAGCCCUUCGGGGUGUAAAGCUCUUUCGACAGGAACGAUAAUGACGGUACCUGGAGAAGAAGCUGCGGCUAACUACGUGCCAGCAGCCGCGGUAAUACGUAGGCAGCAAGCGUUGUUCGGAGUUACUGGGCGUAAAGAGUAUGUAGGCGGUUAUCCAAGUCUGGUGUGAAAUCUCCCGGCUUAACUGGGAGGGUGCGCCGGAAACUGGAUGACUUGAGCGUGGGAGAGGAAAGCGGAAUUCCUGGUGUAGCGGUGAAAUGCGUAGAUAUCAGGAGGAACACCGGCGGUGUAGACGGCUUUCUGGACCAUGGCUGACGCUGAGAUACGAAAGCGUGGGUAGCAAACAGG